Molecule: long non-coding RNA, 234 nt
Filed under: Elaeis guineensis (African oil palm)
Lineage: Eukaryota; Viridiplantae; Streptophyta; Magnoliopsida; Arecales; Arecaceae
Description: long non-coding RNA (EGUI_LNC067397)
Source: RNAcentral
CUUCCAUCCAUUUCUCAGAAUCGAUAUCUAACAUCACCUCAUUGUAGGUUUUGAAAUCAUCUUCAUAUUUUUUAUUUGCCAUGAGGAAUAUUUUCUCUACUUUCUUUAUCAGAAUACCUUAAGUAUCUUUCAAAAGGAUGAAAAAUCCUACUCGAUCUAUGAGUGGAAUAAGAAGUCCAUGUACUAGCUCAACAUGAAUAGAUUCAGCAAGUUUAAUAGCUCAUUGCUCCCCAG